Molecule: non-coding RNA, 107 nt
Organism: Capsicum annuum
Lineage: Eukaryota; Viridiplantae; Streptophyta; Magnoliopsida; Solanales; Solanaceae
Source: Rfam
UAAUGAUGAUGAGGAAAAUUAUUGAGCAUACCCUUGAAUCUUUCCUGUGCUUGGUAAAGAUUUUCUCUAUCCCUCUGCCUGAAACUCAGAAUCUCACUUCUAAACGU